AUGCUAAGCUGACUCAGAACUACUCAUAGAUCCUGUACUGCUAAAGAAAAAAGAAUCCAUUCAAUUGGCAAGUCAGACUUUGUAAAGAAACUGGAAUAUCGAGCUGCCUGACUAGCAGAAAGGAAGAUGGAUGACUAUUCCUGAAUUAGGUGCUGGAAAUGUUGCCCAAAAUAACGAGACUAUGGACUGAAACAACAUUGAGAUGUUUGGAUGACAGCCUAAAUCUGAUGAACUGUAGAGCCCAUUCACACCAGUGCUCUCAGAGACAAGAAGUCGAGCCCUUCACAUAUCUAAUAUGA
This 299-nucleotide long non-coding RNA is filed under the name Numida meleagris (helmeted guineafowl). RNAcentral describes it as "lncRNA (ENSNMEG00000017162.1)". The record is from RNAcentral. Lineage: Eukaryota; Metazoa; Chordata; Aves; Galliformes; Numididae.